AAAGCUACCGAAAUUAGCGACAGUGUAAAAUCUGUACUGUGAGAAUUACAGCUGCCGUACGAAGCGCAGCAUAUUGGAGCGAGCCCAAGCGGACACCAACCAACUGGAGCAAACGUACGCCGGACGAAUGGACGUGGUAGACGCGUUAUGAUUGCAAGGCGAUACUUGCGCUCUGAAAAUGCUAGCACAGAUGUUUGGGCCACAGAGUUUCAGAUAAACCGUUCUCAUCAAUGCCACACCAUGUACGGUCGGUUAGUCACACUUCAUCACGA
This is a long non-coding RNA of Anopheles merus, 272 nucleotides long. RefSeq lists it as uncharacterized. The transcript has 3 exons. Lineage: Eukaryota; Metazoa; Arthropoda; Insecta; Diptera; Culicidae. The record is from RefSeq and is a predicted model, not a curated record.